This 76-nucleotide transfer RNA is filed under the name Firmicutes bacterium ADurb.Bin153. RNAcentral describes it as "tRNA-Val". It matches the Rfam family "tRNA". From Rfam's summary of the family: Transfer RNA (tRNA) molecules are approximately 80 nucleotides in length. Their secondary structure includes four short double-helical elements and three loops (D, anti-codon, and T loops). Further hydrogen bonds mediate the characteristic L-shaped molecular structure. tRNAs have two regions of fundamental functional importance: the anti-codon, which is responsible for specific mRNA codon recognition, and the 3' end, to which the tRNAs corresponding amino acid is attached (by aminoacyl-tRNA synthetases). tRNAs cope with the degeneracy of the genetic code in two manners: having more than one tRNA (with a specific anti-codon) for a particular amino acid; and 'wobble' base-pairing, i.e. permitting non-standard base-pairing at the 3rd anti-codon position. Lineage: Bacteria; Bacillati; Bacillota. RNAcentral also lists the same sequence under 1 other name. The record is from RNAcentral.
GGGCGAAUAGCUCAGCUGGCAGAGCAUCUGCUUUACACGCAGGGGGUCACAGGUUCGAGUCCUGUUUCGCCCACCA